This 504-nucleotide ribosomal RNA is filed under the name uncultured bacterium. RNAcentral's name for it is "partial 16S ribosomal RNA". It matches the Rfam family "Bacterial small subunit ribosomal RNA", at positions 28 to 523 of the family's 1533-position model. The record is from RNAcentral.
GAUAAACGCUAGCGGCAGGCUUAACACAUGCAAGUCGAGGGGCAGCAUAGAUUGUAGCAAUACAAUUGGUGGCGACCGGCGCACGGGUGCGUAACGCGUAUGCAACCUACCCGUCACAGGGGGAUAAUCUGGAGAAAUCUGGUCUAAUACCCCAUAACAUAUGGAUCGGCAUCGGUUCAUGUUGAAAUUUUCGGAGGUGACGGAUGGGCAUGCGUAGCAUUAGCUUGUUGGUGAGGUAACGGCUCACCAAGGCGGCGAUGCUUAGGGGGACUGAGAGGUUUUCCCCCCACACUGGUACUGAGACACGGACCAGACUCCUACGGGAGGCAGCAGUGAGGAAUAUUGGUCAAUGGGCGCAAGCCUGAACCAGCCAUGCCGCGUGCAGGAUGACGGCUCUAUGAGUUGUAAACUGCUUUUGUACGAGGGUAAAGUGGGUUACGUGUAACCUUUUGAAAGUAUCGUACGAAUAAGGAUCGGCUAACUCCGUGCCAGCCGCCGCAGUAA